Molecule: long non-coding RNA, 345 nt
Organism: Seriola aureovittata
Lineage: Eukaryota; Metazoa; Chordata; Actinopteri; Carangiformes; Carangidae
Exons: 3
Source: RefSeq, a predicted model, not a curated record
CCUGAGGAGAGAUAAUUUGUUACCAACCCAAAACAGGGUUUCAAAUCCCAGCAAAACUAUUCAGGAUAUUUCAGUCCCUUGAUUAAUCAAACUGCACAGACGGGAUGUCAGGGUGGCAGCUGCAGGAACUGCUGAAGUCCUCAAGGUCCUGAGACCAAACCAAGCAGAAGUAGAACAUCAGUUCAACAUAGAAUGAUCAUGUACAGUACCACGGGGGGUAAAACAUUGUCUUACAUGAUGUCCCAAUCCAGCUCCACCAGCUCCACCUCCUCCAUCAGCCUGAGGACUCGUCGUUUGAAGUUGGCCUGGAAUCGAGCGUCAUCUUCGAAGACAAGUGCUUUAUCC